Molecule: long non-coding RNA, 834 nt
Organism: Lemur catta (Ring-tailed lemur)
Lineage: Eukaryota; Metazoa; Chordata; Mammalia; Primates; Lemuridae
Exons: 2
Source: RefSeq, a predicted model, not a curated record
UCGGAGCGCGAGCGCCGCGCGCACCAGCGCGCCCGGCCCCGAGCGGCUCCGCGGCCUUCUGGGGCGCCCGCUGCCUCCGGCUCCUGCUAGGGGCAGGAAUGUCUACAAUAACUCUUGUAAUGAAAUAAUUCAACCUGUAAGUCAAGCAGAAUCAAAGAAAGCACGCCCAUACUUCACCGUCCAGCUCCGGAGCAUCUGGGGUCCAUCCUGACCGCUGCAGCUUCCCCUGUCGGCGCCGGUGCGACAGUCGGGCUCCUAUCCCAUCACGGGGCAGGGCCCUUCCAGUUCUGGCUAAACCACUUUGGAAAAACCUUCUUUAUAUGAUGGGCAAACAGGGUGUCUGUGGGUGGGGGGAGGAGCUGGAAGUGAUUUGGUGGUGACAUAUCUGGUCACGCUGGGACUAGCUCCCAGCAUGGCCAGCCUUUCUCAUCUUCCCCAUUUAUUGGGGUGGGUGUGCAUUUACCUUUUACCGCCGGGCUUUGCCACAUCCCAGUCACUUGGCUUAAUGGCCUCCUUCUGCAAGCUCCAGCUCUGUGUCUUCUGCCUUGCCUUCCAUGCCCAGCCGGUGCUACCCACAAUUAGGCACCUAAUAAAUGCUCUGGGUGCAGUCUAGGCUGGCAGACAGUCAUUGAGCAGCUCCUGGAAGAUGGGUCCCUUAGAGCUCGUCUGCAGGAAGCCAGAGACACCUCUGGUAGAGCUGCAAGGAGGUAUUAAUACUUGAAACCCACCAGGAUGUUCCUAAGUUUGUGACCUCCGUGGCCUUGCAGCUCCAAGAAACUGCUGCCCUUCCUUCUCCUUUUGAUCCAGAAAAGUAAAAACAGUCAAUCAUCAUAA